AGCGAACGCUGGCGGCGUGCUUAACACAUGCAAGUCGAACGUGAAAGUAGCAAUAUGAGUAAAGUGGCGUACGGGUGAGUAACACGUGGGUAAUCUACCUUAGAGUCUGGAAUAACGCGCCGAAAGGCGCGCUAAUACUGGAUAGUUCAAGCGCAUCGUAGAGGUGCGAUUGGGAAAGGGAGCUCGUAAGAGCCUUCGCUUUAGGAUGAGCCCGCGUCUGAUUAGCUAGUUGGUGAGGUAAUGGCUCACCAAGGCGACGAUCAGUAGCUGGUCUGAGAGGAUGAUCAGCCACACUGGAACUGAAACACGGUCCAGACUCCUACGGGAGGCAGCAGUGGGGAAUCUUGCGCAAUGGACGAAAGUCUGACGCAGCCACGCCGCGUGAGUGAAGAAGGCCUUCGGGUUGUAAGACUCUGUCGGAGGGGACGAAAACGUACAUUAGGUUAAUAGUCCUAGUGACUUGAUGGUACCUUAAGGUAAGACACCGCGUAA
RNAcentral lists this ribosomal RNA (492 nucleotides) under uncultured bacterium. Its description in RNAcentral is "bacterial SSU rRNA". It matches the Rfam family "Bacterial small subunit ribosomal RNA", at positions 29 to 500 of the family's 1533-position model. The record is from RNAcentral.